Trichobilharzia regenti is the source of this 45-nucleotide non-coding RNA. Lineage: Eukaryota; Metazoa; Platyhelminthes; Trematoda; Strigeidida; Schistosomatidae. The record is from Rfam.
AUCCAGAUGACGAGUCCCAUAUAGGAGGAAAUGCGCAUCCUGGAU